Long non-coding RNA from Papaver somniferum (opium poppy), 2575 nucleotides. RefSeq lists it as uncharacterized. The transcript is spliced from 9 exons. The record is from RefSeq and is a predicted model, not a curated record. Lineage: Eukaryota; Viridiplantae; Streptophyta; Magnoliopsida; Ranunculales; Papaveraceae.
ACUCUCUCCAGCGCCGUCAUAAACCAUAAGUGGUCAAAUACGAGAUCUAUAGAAAUCCAUACCAGGAUCAAGCGAAAAACCUUAUUUCUAGCUAAAAGAUUUCAGUUUACCUGCUUCGUCUUAUUCUUCUCCAUCUUUGGCCAAUAGUAUUGGCAUAUCAUGUCUAGAAGGGGAAACUAAGCGCUUCAUACACUAAACAAAUCUAAGAGGAGUAAAGAAGAGAAAGAUGUGGAUAAGGAAUGGACGAAAGAUUGGAUGGAUAAUUUAGAUGACGUAAUUAAAAUUGGUUUGGGCGGGCUCGGGAAUGAUGGCACUUUUGGGAAUCACACUUACUAAUUUCCAAGGUCUUGACGGCAGAGAUAAGUGCGAUGCCGGGCCAGAGAUGGUGAAGAAGAUCUUGAAAACUGGAGGUGUGUCCCUAAUGCUUCUUACUGCUUCUUCAUUUGCUGCUAUAUGCACAAAAAGUGUUGAAAAAUCUUUCGAGAAUACGAAGGACAAAUUGAAGAAGAAGAUUUUGAGAUUUGGAUAAAGCAUGUGCAUCGUCCCAAUGGAUUUCAGAGGGUAUUUAUGUAAAUUAACUCUCCUGUCUGGUUUACAAAGCCCUUAGAAUUUCAUUUUUCAUUCAUUCCCCAAAACUCAAAACCCUUUGAUUUUGUUCAGUGCGAAACCUAAAAACUUCAACAAAAAUCAUUUUAUCCACCAUGGUUCUGUUUUUGACAUCACGGCAGAAAUAAAUUUAUGUUUCCAAAUCAUCAACAUCAGCAGGAUUUGGUGGUAAAGAUGUUCUAGUUAGGAAGAUUGUGAACCUGGAUAAUCAUAUUGAUUCGUCACAUUUUGAUAUACAAGGAAAGGAUUGAGUGUCAAAGCCAUGGACUCGCAGUUCAGGUUCCUAUAGCUGUUGGAAUACUCAAAGUGGUGAUGUGAGUCCAUCUCUCAUUGUCAGACUAAUCCCUCAGCGACAGACGGCAGUGCCCUGUUGGAAGGAUAAUGCAACAGGGAGAAACUACAACUCUACGCAUGACAUUUUGGAGAAAACCUACAAAAGAAAUUUUUGGACGACAAACAGUGAAGCUUGCUCUUUGUGCGUUUCUUGAGUGUAUGAUACUCGCGUAACAUGUCCGCAAGUUAGUAACAUACGGAAGUAAUCCAUUUGAUGCAGAAAUCGUGGUAUUUAUUUCAUGCCAAAUGGUUUAAGUGGUACUGAUAAGAGGCAGAAAUCGUGUACAUCACCCUGGAAUAUCAUUAUUUAAUGGUUUGUCCUGGUUUCACAAGGUAGCCAAGUGGUUUAAGUGGUAGUGAUAAGAGGCAGAAGUCAUGUGCCAGCUUGGAUGGCUAAUGCAACAGGGGGAAACUCCAACUCCAUGCAUGAAUUUUUGGAGAAAACCUACAAAGAAACUUUUGGACAAGAAACUGUGAAGCUUGCUAUUUGUGCAUUACUCGAGGUCCUAUUGCUGAAGACAUGUACGGUAUACCAUUGGCAAGUAGCAAUUAUGGGUCCUCCAGACAGUCCGUAAGCAGGAGGAGGCUUUUUAGUUGUGAUUCACUUUUCUCCAGAUUCCAUUUAAACCACCAAAGUACCGUGUACUCUAUAUAAUACAAGGUGUUGGAAAAACUUGAUAAAAUCGGCGGGCUGUGAAGCUUAUGUAAUCUGCUAAGCAAGUUAUUGUGUAAUAAUGAUUGGUUAGUUGAGGCACUUUUGGUCGGGUUAUUUAACUGUACUUUCUUUAUGCAUUUCUGUCGUUACCUUUUUAACUGGGAAAGGUUAGGACUAGUACACUGAUGUGAAAGAGAAACUCUUGGAAGCUGCUUGUACUUCUCCUGCAUUAGCCCUUAGGUUCCGAGUUCAAUUCAACAAAUGGGCCAUCAUAGUUCGACUGCUGUUACCAGAGAGAACUGUCCUCAUGCAGAAAGGCAUGAAAACGGUAUUGAGGCCAUACUUUGAGCUUACAAAUGUGACUCUUCAAACUUGCACUAAAUGAGGCUUCUCGUAUAGGUGAUUUAGAGUUGUAUAGGGAUGUUGGCAUGUUGCGGAUAAGUUUGCAAGUACUGCCAGCUCAGACAGGACUCCCAAUCUGAUUGUGAUGUUGCGACAUAUUGUCAUCCGGACAGGGCUUUGCAAUAUAAGCAUCUCUUAUCCUCGCAUUUCACUUGUUCACGUUGCUCACAAGCUGAGGUUAGACUCAACGAACCCUGUGUGGUGCCGAGAGCAUUGCAGCCAAGGAAAUCCGAGAUUGUGCCAUCGAUGCAACUUUGGACCCUACAAACGGGUGGAGGAUGGUACCUAAGGAGACUGGAAAUACUCCCUCUGUAAAUGAACCUAAUCUGCUUUCAUCUCGAGGACUGCCUUCUGCCUCAACAUGCAUAAUGAAGCUUGGCGCCUUGGGAUUCUCUCCAAAAGGAAAGUGCAGAAAAGAGAGGUGAGAGACGACAACAGAAGGAGCUUGUGAAGCAUAUUGCCGUGAUCUGUGGAUGAUGACAAUGAGUUCUAACUGUCACCUUCCAGCAUUUGUCAAGCUGUUACUAUGACAGUACCAUUCCUUAUAUUUAUAAAAACUGAUCUUGGUGGGUUUUAAAA